GGUGCUUUUUCAGGUGAGGACCAGACCAAAGUUGACCGUAGCGGCGCCUACAUUGUUAGGCAAGCUGCAAAGGGCGUGGUGGCUUCCGGGCUCGCUCGAUGCUGCAUUUUGCAGGCCAAGAGUGAUCUCUAUCAAUAUUGAUCUGAUGAGAGGAUGCAACUUCAUGUAUCAGGAAACAGCAGCAUAUGGGCAUCUCGGACGUGAUGACCCAGGUAUCACCUGGGAGAGAGUGAAGCUUCUCAAACCUCACAAAGCAUAGAUCUUUGCCUUCCUCUGGUCACACUAAUAUUCCAAAACGAUUUCUGAUUUUGUGUUUAUGUUCUAUUUGUGGUACUUGGUAGCAGAUUCUCAAAUAGUUUUUCACCGACUUUGGUGAGAUUAAUGAAAGACAAGAGAGGGAAUCCUGAAUUGUGUUUAUGUUCUAUUUGAUAAUGAUGUUUGCCUCAUACAAUCAACUCUUCUGAAGCUGGAUAAGGCAUGUCAUGAGCCACACCAAGAAUCAUGCAUUCAAGUUAUGCAGUGCUAAUUGAUCAUGUUUGGAACUAGGAGAAGUUUCCGUCGAUUUGAUGAAUUUUGAAAUGUAACAUACAAAUGAACUGUCUGUAAAUCUGUAGCAUUGAAUUAACUUAAAAAUCAACUGUCUUCUAUUGUUUGCCUAUCGUUUCUUUUUUCUUGAACUUUUCUUGUAUCUUGUAUUUUGGGGAUGUACAUAGUUCAUGUCCAAUGUAUAUGAACAAGAUAUAAAUGU
This is a long non-coding RNA of Eucalyptus grandis, 748 nucleotides long. RefSeq lists it as uncharacterized. The record is from RefSeq and is a predicted model, not a curated record. Lineage: Eukaryota; Viridiplantae; Streptophyta; Magnoliopsida; Myrtales; Myrtaceae. The transcript has 2 exons.